AAGGAUCAUUAUAGUAUUCUAUUGCCAGCGCUUAAUUGCGCGGCGAUAAACCUUACACACAUUGUCUAGUUUUUUUGAACUUUGCUUUGGGUGCAUCAGCCUAGCUGCGUGCCCAAAGGUCUAAACACAUUUUUUUAAUGUUAAAACCUUUAACCAAUAGUCAUGAAAAUUUUUAACCAAAAUUAAAAUCUUCAAAACUUUCAACAACGGAUCUCUUGGUUCUCGCAACGAUGAAGAACGCAGCGAAAUGCGAUACGUAUUGUGAAUUGCAGAUUUUCGUGAAUCAUCGAAUCUUUGAACGCACAUUGCACCCUCUGGUAUUCCAGAGGGUAUGCCUGUUUGAGCGUCAUUUCUCUCUCAAACCUUCGGGUUUGGUAUUGAGUGAUACUCUGUCAAGGGUUAACUUGAAAUAUUGACUUAGCAAGAGUGUACUAAUAAGCAGUCUUUCUGGAAUAAUGUAUUAGGUUCUUCCAACUCGUUAUAUCAGCUAGGCAGGUUUAGAAGUAUUUUAGGCUCGGCUUAACAACAAUAAACUAAAAGUUUGACCUCAAAUCAGGUAGGACUACCCGCUGAACUUAAGCAUAUCAA
This 588-nucleotide ribosomal RNA is filed under the name Hansenula anomala. RNAcentral describes it as "eukaryotic LSU rRNA". The stretch from base 196 to 349 matches the Rfam family "5.8S ribosomal RNA". The record is from RNAcentral. Lineage: Eukaryota; Fungi; Ascomycota; Saccharomycetes; Phaffomycetales; Wickerhamomycetaceae.